This 62-nucleotide microRNA precursor is filed under the name Caenorhabditis briggsae. Its description in RNAcentral is "Cbr-Mir-277-P6a_pre stem-loop". The record is from RNAcentral. Lineage: Eukaryota; Metazoa; Nematoda; Chromadorea; Rhabditida; Rhabditidae.
UCCGUAGUUUUGACCAUUUUAUCCAACCUAAUAAUGUGAUAAAUGCAUCUUAACUGCGGUGA